RNAcentral lists this long non-coding RNA (813 nucleotides) under Ananas comosus (pineapple). RNAcentral describes it as "long non-coding RNA (ACOM_LNC027419)". The record is from RNAcentral. Lineage: Eukaryota; Viridiplantae; Streptophyta; Magnoliopsida; Poales; Bromeliaceae.
AAGUGGAUAGCUAUUGAAUAGCUAUUUUAUCUACUAUAGAAAAUAAUAUAUAAUAUACAAUAUAUGAGUCCGGCUAUGGUGCUUGUAAAAGCACCAAGCAUUUAGUGCUUGUAAAUUUUUUUACCGUUAGAUCUACACCUUUGAUUAUUUUUACCAGUUAGAUUAUACCAUUCAACCAACCACCCACUCAACCCUAGAGGCCCACAUUAUUCUAACCACACAUCUCUUAAUUCAAUGGCAAAAAAUCUAUAAGNNNNNNNNNNNNNNNNUAUAUAUAUAUAUAUAUAUAUAUAUAUAUAUAAUUGAGCUUCUAUGCUUUUAAAAGUACCAAGUCAUUAGUGCUUGUAAGUUUUCGGCCCUUAGAUUAAAGGAUGUGCGGUUAGGAUGAUAUGAGCCCCCUAGGGUUGAGUAGGUGGUUGGUUGAAUAGUAUAAUCUAACGGAUAAAAAUGAUCAAAGGCGUAGAUCUAACGGUAAAAAAUUUACAAGCACCAAGUGCUUGGUAUUUUUACAAGUAUGAGUCCGGCUACUAUACUUUUAUGAGUAUUGACUCUCUUAUUCUUAUAAGUUUUCGGCCCUUAGAUUUAUUCCACUGAUCAUUUCCAUCCGUUAGAUCAUACUAUUCAACCAACUAUCCACUCAACCUUAGAGGACCACUAUCAUUUUAAGUGGAGAUCAUCAUCAUCCUAACCACACAUCCCAUCAAUCAACGGUUAAAAAUUUAUAAGUAUAAGAGAGAUUAUACUCAUAAGAGUAUAGUAGCCCAGCAUAUAUAUAUAUAUAUAUAUAUAUAUAUAUAUAUGACUAAUUAACAU